Molecule: ribosomal RNA, 863 nt
Filed under: uncultured bacterium
Lineage: Bacteria
Description: bacterial SSU rRNA
Rfam family: Bacterial small subunit ribosomal RNA
Source: RNAcentral
GAACGCUUGUCCGGCAGGCCUAACACAUGCAAGUCGAGCGGUAGAGAGAAGCUUGCUUCUCUUGAGAGCGGCGGACGGGUGAGUAAUGCCUAGGAAUCUGCCUGGUAGUGGGGGAUAACGCUCGGAAACGGACGCUAAUACCGCAUACGUCCUACGGGAGAAAGCAGGGGACCUUCGGGCCUUGCGCUAUCAGAUGAGCCUAGGUCGGAUUAGCUAGUUGGUGAGGUAAUGGCUCACCAAGGCGACGAUCCGUAACUGGUCUGAGAGGAUGAUCAGUCACACUGGAACUGAGACACGGUCCAGACUCCUACGGGAGGCAGCAGUGGGGAAUAUUGGACAAUGGGCGAAAGCCUGAUCCAGCCAUGCCGCGUGUGUGAAGAAGGUCUUCGGAUUGUAAAGCACUUUAAGUUGGGAGGAAGGGCAUUAACCUAAUACGUUGGUGUCUUGACGUUACCGACAGAAUAAGCACCGGCUAACUCUGUGCCAGCAGCCGCGGUAAUACAGAGGGUGCAAGCGUUAAUCGGAAUUACUGGGCGUAAAGCGCGCGUAGGUGGUUCGUUAAGUUGGAUGUGAAAUCCCCGGGGCUCAACCUGGGGAACUGCAUUCCAAAACUGACGAGCUAGAGUAUGGUAGAGGGUGGUGGGAAAUUUCCUGUGUUAGCGGUGAAAAUGCGUAAGAUAUAGGAAGGAACACCCAGCUGGGCGAAGGCGACCACCUGGAACUGAUACUGACACUGAGGUGGCGAAAAGCGUGGGGAGCAAACAGGAUUAGAUACCCUGGUAGUCCACGCCGUAAACGAUGUCAACUAGCCGUUGGGAGCCUUGAGCUCUUAGUGGCGCAGCUAACGCAUUAAGUUGACCGCC